GACGAACGCUGGCGGCAUGCCUAACACAUGCAAGUCGAACGAACGCAUCGGGCUUUUUCUCGCACGGGUUUGGCACCCGUGGGAAUCUUCCCUUGUGUUCGGCCUACCUGUUAGACAUGGCUGCUAACACCGGAUGAUAGCUCAUGACCAAAGAUAUAUCGGCGAAGGAUGGGCCCGCGUAGGAUUAGCUAGUUGGUGGAGUAAAGGCCUACUAAGGCGACGAUCCGUAGCUGGGCAGAGAGGAUGAUCAGCAACACUGGGAGUGAGACACGACCCAGAAUCCUACGGGAGGGAGCAGUGGGGUAUAUUGGAAAAUGGGCGAGAGUCAGAAAGAGCAAUGCCGCGUAAGUGAUGAAGACCUGAGGGUUAUAAAGCUCUAUUACACGAGAUGAUAAUGAACGGAACGGAAGAAUAAGCCCCGGCUAAAUCCGGG
Molecule: ribosomal RNA, 433 nt
Filed under: uncultured bacterium
Lineage: Bacteria
Description: partial 16S ribosomal RNA
Rfam family: Bacterial small subunit ribosomal RNA
Source: RNAcentral